CGCAGAAGAUUCUGGUCUGUGGUGUUCUUCCUGGCCGGUCAUGAGAACGCGUCUAAUAACAUUUACCAAUGAAGACUUAGGAGCCAGAUACUGAGGCCACCAGUAGGUGACCAACUUGUCCCCAGCACAUGCCUCACAGAAGCUGAGAAACAACAGAACCAAGGGACCAUGGAUGACCAAACCAGUGAGGGUGUGAAGAACACAGAGGAACCACCUGAUCCUCCCUUAAAGAAGCCUCAGAGUGCCAGCGGUUGUGCUCUACGUCCUUACAUUUGCUGGGAAGUGCUCACUCAUCUCUUCAAGGCCUGACCUGAAUGGCAUUCGUGAGGGUGCCAGUAUAAACGACAGAGGUCUGAAACUGGAAGCAGAAUAUCCUGACAAGCUCAUUUGUUGGAAUAAGUACUCCCAGUUGGUGGCACUGUUUUAAGAGGUCCAGAGACCAUUUGGAUUUGUGCUGUAGCUAGCCUAGAUGGGAUACAAGGGGAGGAGAGGGGCAGGCCUUGAGCAUAAUAUCUGCUUUUGUUUUAUUCAGCCUGAAUAAGCCCCGCUGCAAGCGCCUGCCACCAGAGACAGAGCCUCCCUGGCUGUCAUGCCUCCACACCAUGGUGGCUGGCACCCUCUGAACUGUGGGCUAAAACUAACUUCUGUUGGGUGCUUUGUCGUGGAGAUGAGAAAUGUGGCUAAGACAGUAAGGGAAAUGCCACCAGAUAAUUUCGAGUCUACUCAAGGAAAUAUUUAUUCUGUUUUUUUCCCACUAAUGUGUCUAUUAAGUUUGGACAGUAGACAAAGUUGAUUGAUAUAUUUUUCAUGGCGUUUGAUCAAGAUUUGUAGCUAACUCUGGAACGUGGUAGGUCUCCAGGUCACACAACCAGUGUGGUGACAGCAAUCAUUCCCUACCAACAGUGUUAGAAGACCAGUGCUGUACCUGCAUCUUCGCUCUCUGAUUAUCCAUCCUUUGGGGUCCUGAAGCCCUUCCUAUACCAACUUCAAGAAAGCUUUUGACCUCUUUUCACAAUAGCCUGCUCUUCCAUUUUCUGGAGAGAUUAUAGUAUGGCUUAAUAGUUUUCUUUGACAGACAUCUGAACACUCUCUAUCCGACCCAACUUUAAAAUAAUCAACAGUAACAUAAUCUUGGAGACUCACCAUUUUAUACAGAAGCAGGUACAUUUGUCGGGAAAAGACUGGAUGCAAAUUGCCAUUUUCUCAGGCUUCCGAGACUUUCUCAGACUUUCCCAGAGUCACCUCCAUUUGUCCCCUGUGAGGAGCUCUGCUAAGCUGACAGCACAGUGUGCACUUUCCUGCUUGGAGCAGAGGCGAACACAUUGCACACGUCUGGACCGCUGCUCCCUUUUCUGUGGGAAAUCGGUGUUUUCCAGGUCUCUCCCUUCUCCCAAUUCCGCAGAGCCUUUGCGGUAUAACAUCAGGGAUUUUAGAGCACUCUGCUAUGAACUGCAAAUGUGCUAGUCCAGGUUCUCAUUUGCUUUAGACGUGUUUGUAGAAUCUCCUAGGCUAGUUUUAGGGUGCUUCUUCAUGGUUUUAGAAAUGCCACCCCCACCCCAAAUUAUGAAGAGUGAGCCAAUUUGCUUUGUACCUUUCCCUUUUUGCAACAUAGCUUACCUCUAGCCACUGGUGUAUUUGUAGACACCUUGGUGUAAAAAGUAAAAGAUAGUCCAAUUUUUAAUUUUUUAAAUAACCUAUCCAGUUUCUUCAAUGCAAUAAAGUGAAGAAAUCUAUUUUUUUCAUAGUGAGACUCCACUAGAGACAGAAACUGCAUCAUGUCAUUUCUAAAUACAUUUGGUUCCAUUUUAAUUUUUACAUUAAAAUAAAAUAACCUAUAUAUUCCAGCAAA
This is a long non-coding RNA of Mus musculus (house mouse), 1849 nucleotides long. RefSeq annotates it as predicted gene, 33671. The transcript is spliced from 4 exons. NCBI's taxonomy places the organism in Eukaryota, Metazoa, Chordata, Mammalia, Rodentia, Muridae. The record is from RefSeq and is a predicted model, not a curated record.